UCUUUUGGGCAGCUAGGUGGCGCCAUAGUGCGCAGAACGCUGACCCUCCCACCAGAGGUACUGAUCCUCCCAGCUAGGUGGCGCCAUUGUGCACAGAACGCUGACCCUCCCACCAGACUUGUAAGUCCUUCCACACACACACAUCCACACCCUGUGUCUUAUUAAGUACCUACUAUCAGGAAGUAGGUGCGAGGCUCUGAGAGGACAAAGUCAGCAACAACACAGUCCGUAUCUCUUGGAGUUUGUAAUCUUUUGGAAAGGACAAAACCAUCUGCGUCCAUAACUGUAGUAUUAAGAGAGAGCUCCAGCCAUAGAGCUGUGAGAAGGGGAAAGGGAACUCUUCUCGGAGGAGACGGUAUUUCACGUGACCCGGAAGGGCGGGAGAAGCCGUAGAGUUAGACAUGGCGUCAGACUGAGCAGGAUCUUGAAUGCCAGGAUCGGGAAGAGAAAAGUAAAAAGAUUUAUUUAGUACAUUAAGAAAUACUAAGGAGAAAUCAAGAUCUGGGUCCAUGGACACUUCAGAAAGAAUCUUCUACUCAAUCAGAUCCAUAGAAUCUGAGAGGGUUGAAGGGAACUUGGAUGGCAUCUCUUCCCCAACCCCUCUUCAAUGGUGCAUGUAGAAAAGCUUGCCACUUUUGGAGACAGACUUAAUUGUUAGGAAGAUUUAGGUCAUAGCACCUUGGCAAGAUACAACCAGCUUCUGUUCUCACUAUAGGACUAAUCUAUAGAAAUAAUGACCUUUUGUCAUUCAGAACUAUUCUGUGGAAUGUUAGCAGUGGAAGAAAUCUCCAAGAUGGACCAGCCCAACAUCUUCAUUUGACAGGAAAGGACAGAAGAAAAAGAGAGAAAGAAGGAAAAAGAAAGGAAGGAAGGAAGGAGAUAGAAAUAGAGAAGAAAACAGAAAGAAAAGAAAGAAAAACAGAAAGAAAAGCAGAAAGAAAAGCAGGAAGAAAAGAAAGAAAAACAGAAAGAAAAGAAAGAAAAACAGAAAAAGAAAGAAAAACAGAAAGAAAAGAAAGAAAAACAGAAAGAGAAAGAAAAACAGAAAGAAGAGAAAGAAAAACAGAAACAAAAGAAAGACAAACAGAAAGAAAGGACAAAAGAAAGAAAAAGAAAAAGGAAGGAAGGAAGGAAGGAAGGAAGAAAAUACUAGUUUACUUUGUCUUAGAAUUACAACUUCCUUUCCCUAUCUCCAGUAUUAAAAGGACUCUCAAAAAACACCUGUCACUGUUGAUAAUAUUCUUUGUUUUAGGCCUCUACCAAGUCAGGGCAAUGUCCUUAAUUAUAAUCAGUAUCAUUCAUUCAAUCAAUCAAUCAAUACACAUUUAAAUACCUUUUUUUUUCAGGCAAUGUGCUAAACCCUGGGGAUACAAGAAGACAAUGCAUGCCAUCAAGGAGUUGAUAUCUAUCUAUCUAUCUAUCUAUCUAUCUAUCUAUCUAUCUAUCUAUCUGUCUGUCUGUCUGUCUGUCUGUCUGUCUAGCAAGCUACAUACAGAAUAGGAAUCAACCAAAAUAGGGAAGGCACUGGAAUUAAGAGAGGUUGGGAAAGACUUUCCAUAUAUAGGAGAUUAGGAGAUGAAAUUUUAGUUGGGACUUAAAGGAAGCCAGGAAAAUCAGGACAUAGAGCAGAAGAGGGAGGAUAUUCCAGGCCCAGUCAGAGAAAAUUCUCAUAGCUGAGAGAUGGAAUGUCUCAUUGGUGAAACAUCAAUUAAUUAUCCUUAUUAUUACUCAUAAUUA
RNAcentral lists this long non-coding RNA (1737 nucleotides) under Monodelphis domestica (gray short-tailed opossum). Its description in RNAcentral is "lncRNA (ENSMODG00000032502.2)". Lineage: Eukaryota; Metazoa; Chordata; Mammalia; Didelphimorphia; Didelphidae. The record is from RNAcentral.